GCAAGUCGAGCGGUAGAAGAUUUAGCUUGCUAAAUCUUUGAGAGCGGCGAACGGGUGAGUAACACGUUGGUAUCUGCCCCCAAGUCAGGGAUAGCCAUUGGAAACGAUGAUUAAUACCGGAUAGUCUCUUCGGAGUAAAGAUUUAUUGCUUGGGGAGGAACCUGCGUUCUAUCAGCUAGUUGGUGAGGUAAAAGCUCACCAAGGCGACGAUCCCUAGCUGGUCUGAGAGGAUGAUC
This 236-nucleotide ribosomal RNA is filed under the name uncultured bacterium. RNAcentral's name for it is "partial 16S ribosomal RNA". It matches the Rfam family "Bacterial small subunit ribosomal RNA", at positions 57 to 305 of the family's 1533-position model. The record is from RNAcentral.